Molecule: long non-coding RNA, 1684 nt
Organism: Struthio camelus australis
Lineage: Eukaryota; Metazoa; Chordata; Aves; Struthioniformes; Struthionidae
Source: Ensembl
GGGAAGUCCAGGGAAGUGAGUGAUUGGUACCAUCCCUACCAGGAAGUGGCUCUCCCACACGAACGUAUCCUCAUGAAGGAUGGGAGAGUUCCUGACAUUGCCGGACAAGGGAUAGCCCCAGCCAACCUUUUAGAGUUGAUUAAGCUUUUUUUUUUUUUUCAUUUCUUCACAUAUGUUCCUUAUGAACAUUUGUUGUUUUGUUGUCUGUUUUGAAAGUUGUAAAUAUCUAUUUUUACUUCCAGUUUCUUUGUAUUUCUCUUGAGACGUAGGUGAUUUCAAAGUAGCUGCCCAAUGUUAAUUUUCACUUUGGAGAUGUGGCACUCCUUAGUGCUGGAAAACCCUUAAUAAGUUUUCACCUUCCUUUACACUGGUCUGAAAUAUCCAGAGGGCAGCAGAAUACGCUCCACGAGAACUGCACAGGCCAGUUUGAAAGCUAGUAUUGUGGAAGUCGGCAGAAGAAGCAGCCUCUCCCGGUGGCUAAUGACAAUUCAGAAGCUCUCUGGCAUGGGCCAAAGUGAGGGAGAAGCUCACCCGCACCCCAAGUAUCCCUGUGAAGCAUGCAGCAAUUCCCCAAUUUUAAGCUGUCCUUUAAAAAACAUAAAAUACAAUUUGGCAACAGAUUAUGGAGCCCUGGAGGAAAAAUGCAUCAGAAAGUCCAGGAGAAGAGUAAAGUACAUCCAGUAAUGCUGCAAGCUGUGUGGAAAAUCAUAGCGAAUGUUGACGAACCUGAAGUUUAAAGGGAGCAGAGGUGUACCACAAGCCUCCUGAGAAGAUGCACUGUAGUCCAUCUGCCAUCAGGGCAGAAAGGAUGCCUUUACAGAAAACACAGGAUAUUGUCCUUUUGCUGGUGAGAGACCUUUGCCAAAGGUCUCUCACCAGAAGUGAGAAUACUGUAUAACUGAGUAUGCUGACUAGCAGACUGUUAACCAGAUGGACACAUUACAGUUAGAUACAGCGGUAAAAAGGAUAUUUUCGUGCCAAAGCUUCGUUUCCAUCACACCUAAUCCCAGCUUAAAAGAAUCACUAGGAAUCUGUAGCAAAUUGCCAGAAAGGUGAUGAUGAAUUUAGAUUUAAACAGGUUACGUUCUGGGAGAAAUUUCUCAAGGCCUUAGGUGCCGUGCAGAGCGUAACAAAAAUUGGAGGGCAGAUUCGGAAACAUGUUCUGGGGAAGUUACUCUCAGUUUUUAUCCGUAGCUGUAACUCUAUGUGAGCAUUCAUAUAAAUGUUAGCACUCAUUCAGGAAGGUGGGUAAGGAAUAACUUGCAUUUCAUUAAAAGAUAAUUGGUACUAGUAAAGAGCACAGCGUAGUUGGUAUUUACCUGAGGCAUGUUUUCCAGUAAAGCAAUCAGUCCUAAUCUGCUAGUAGCAGCAGAAGCAAACUUUGCUUCCCUAAAGAAUUUGUUCCACUCUGUAGGUGUUAGUGGUCCAUACCACUAAUGUAAAUAUCUUGGGCUCUUCUUUAUUUAGGGGUGUGUGAAUGUUUGUGUCAUCUGCAAAUUUUAUCGAUAGUAAUCUUCUCUUUAAUUGCAUGUCAGUGAUGGAAAUAUUCGAUAGUGUUAGUCUGUUAUCGAGACCUGCCAGAAAUGCUCUGUAUGAUGAUGAUUCCCACCAAGGGCAUUUGGAAAUCUUUCAACUAAUUUUGAAUCCAUGUAAUGUUUGGAUUGUUUGUAUUUUAUAGUGCCAC